UGGAGGGAAGAAUAAUGGAUUUAAAUGCAAUGGCCCAGCUUUCUGCUUUGGUUGUCGCGGUUUUUUCUUUUAUUUUCUUUUCUUUUGUGGUUAGAGUAGUCGUGGUUUUAAAUGCUAAAUGCAGGCCCUCUUAAAUCCCUACCCAAACAUUCCCAUCUCUCCUUAUAACCCUUCCUUCCCCUUUCUUCAAAAAAAUUCACUGGUUUUUCUUUCUUCUCUUGUCUCUCUUUAUGCCUCUCACACUCUAUGGAGUCACAUAUAAUCUCCCCAAGAGUGUAUGAACCCACCUUUCUGCUUUUCUUUUCUGUCUUGAAAUGAUGGCUUCUUCCUCAAAAUGUAAAAGAAAAAUGAAAGGCACAUAAGGGUUUUUGUGUUUAUGCAUUGGAAUAAAUGUGCAUGAAAUAGUGAUUGUGAUAUUGGCCUGGUUCACUCAGACAUGAAACCUAUCCCUUCUCCUGCUUAUUGCCUGAAUAGGGUGUUGUUGCUAUAUGUUUUGAUUGAGCCGUGCCAAUAUCUCAGUGCUGUUUCAUCUGAUUACUAGUGUUUAGAUUGGCACUAUCCAAACAUCUAAAGGAACAUACCCAAAGAAACGGCAAGAGAUCAUGAGGUAGCUAGAGCAAAUUCUCCAGAAGUUUGUUAUAUUAAUUUACAAAAGAAGGCAAUAAUACUCUAUAUUCUUAGUA
Ricinus communis (castor bean) is the source of this 683-nucleotide long non-coding RNA. RefSeq lists it as uncharacterized. The record is from RefSeq and is a predicted model, not a curated record. The transcript has 2 exons. NCBI's taxonomy places the organism in Eukaryota, Viridiplantae, Streptophyta, Magnoliopsida, Malpighiales, Euphorbiaceae.